Molecule: ribosomal RNA, 587 nt
Filed under: uncultured bacterium
Lineage: Bacteria
Description: bacterial SSU rRNA
Rfam family: Bacterial small subunit ribosomal RNA
Source: RNAcentral
ACUCAAAGGAAUUGACGGGGACCCGCACAAGCGGUGGAGCAUGUGGUUUAAUUCGAUGCAACGCGAAAAACCUUACCACUCCUUGACAUGGAAAUUAUACCUAUUCGAAGGGAUAGGGUCGGUUCGGCCGGGUUUCACACAGGUGUUGCAUGGCUGUCGUCAGCUCGUGUCGUGAGAUGUUGGGUUAAGUCCCGCAACGAGCGCAACCCUCAUCCUUAGUUACCAUCAGGUAAUGCUGGGGACUUUAAGGAGACUGCCAGUGAUAAACUGGAGGAAGGUGGGGAUGAUGUCAAGUCAUCAUGGCCCUUAUGGAGUGGGCUACACACGUGCUACAAUGGUGGCUACAAUGGGCUGCAAAGUCGCGAGGCUAAGCCAAUCCCUUAAAAGCCAUCUCAGUUCGGAUUGUACUCUGCAACUCGAGUGCAUGAAGUUGGAGUCGCUAGUAAUCGUGGAUCAGCACGCCACGGUGAAUACGUUCUCGGGUCUUGUACACACUGCCCGUCACGCCAUGGGAAUUGGUUUCACUCGAAGCUAACGACCUAACCGCAAGGAGGGAGUUAUUUAAAGUGGGAUCGGUGACUGGGGUG